This 254-nucleotide ribosomal RNA is filed under the name uncultured bacterium. RNAcentral describes it as "partial 16S ribosomal RNA". It matches the Rfam family "Bacterial small subunit ribosomal RNA", at positions 524 to 776 of the family's 1533-position model. The record is from RNAcentral.
UACGAAGGGGGCUAGCGUUGCUCGGAAUCACUGGGCGUAAAGCGCACGUAGGCGGACUCUUAAGUCGGGGGUGAAAUCCUGGAGCUCAACUCCAGAACUGCCUUCGAUACUGAGAGUCUUCGAGUCCGGGAGAGGUGAGUGGAACUCCGAGUGUAGAGGUGAAAUUCGUAGAUAUUCGGAAGAACACCAGUGGCGAAGGCGGCUCACUGGCCCGGUACUGACGCUGAGGUGCGAAAGCGUGGGGAGCAAACAGG